GAUGAAGAACGUAGCGAAAUGCGAUAAGUAAUGUGAAUUGCAGAAUUCAGUGAAUCAUCGAAUCUUUGAACGCACCUUGCACUCCUUGGUAUUCCGAGGAGUACGCCUGUUCGAGUGUUAUGAAGCUCUCAAAACGCAAUUGGCUUAAAACCUGAUUGUUGUUUUGGAUUUGAACUUUGCCGUGUUAUAACGGCUGGUUUUAAAAGUAUUAGCUGGUACUAGAACGAAUUGGUUCUACUCAACGUGAUAAUUAUCUGAUCGUUGAGGACAUUCCUUUCACGAGGAAUGGCCAUAGUAAAUUCAAUGGACUGCUUCUAAUCUGGCUUUAAUUCUUUAUUGGAUUAACCACUUUUCAAAUCUGACCUCGAAUCAGGUGGGACUACCCGCUGAACUUAAGCAUAUCAAUAAGCGAGGA
Molecule: unclassified non-coding RNA, 415 nt
Filed under: soil metagenome
Description: partial contains 5.8S ribosomal RNA, internal transcribed spacer 2, and large subunit ribosomal RNA
Rfam family: 5.8S ribosomal RNA (bases 1-120)
Source: RNAcentral